This 468-nucleotide ribosomal RNA is filed under the name uncultured bacterium. RNAcentral describes it as "partial 16S ribosomal RNA". It matches the Rfam family "Bacterial small subunit ribosomal RNA", at positions 28 to 507 of the family's 1533-position model. The record is from RNAcentral.
GACGAACGCUGGCGGCGUGCUUAACACAUGCAAGUCGAACGGAAAGGCCCUGCUUUUGCGGGGUGCUCGAGUGGCGAACGGGUGAGUAACACGUGAGUAACCUGCCCUUGACUUUGGGAUAACUUCAGGAAACUGGGGCUAAUACCGGAUAGGAGCUCCUGCUGCAUGGUGGGGGUUGGAAAGUUUCGGCGGUUGGGGAUGGACUCGCGGCUUAUCAGCUUGUUGGUGGGGUAGUGGCUUACCAAGGGUUUGACGGGUAGCCGGCCUGAGAGGGUGACCGGCCACCUUGGGACUGAGAUACGGAGCAGACGGCUACGGUAGGCAGCGGUGGGGAAUAUUGCACAGUGGGCGGAAGUGUGAUGCAGCAACGCCGCGUGCGGGAUAACGGGCUUCGGGUUGUAAACAGCUUUCGCCUGUGACGAAGCGUGAGUGACGGUAAUGGGUAAGGAAGCACCGGCUAACUACGUG